CAAUAGCGUAUAUUAAAGUUGUUGCGGUUAAAAAGCUCGUAGUUGGAGUUCUGCCAGGUGCCGCCUGUCCGCCCCAGUGGUGAGUACGUGGCGCGCAUUUGGCCCUUUCAAGGGGAGCGUAUCUGCACUUUAUUGUGUGGUGCGGGAUCCUUGACUUUUACUUUGAGGAAAUAGGAGUGUUCCAAGCAGGCUCUCGUCGUGCACAGCUCAGCAUGGAAUAAUAGCAUUGGACCUCGAUUCUAAGCUGUUGGUUGCCAGAAGCGAGGUAAUGAUGAAGAGGGAUAGUUGGGGGCAUUCGUAUUUAACUGUCAGAGGUGAAAUUCUAGGAUUUGUUAAAGACGGACUACUGCGAAAGCAUCUGCCAUGGAUGUUUUCAUUGA
RNAcentral lists this ribosomal RNA (380 nucleotides) under uncultured eukaryote. Its description in RNAcentral is "partial 18S ribosomal RNA". It matches the Rfam family "Eukaryotic small subunit ribosomal RNA", at positions 592 to 976 of the family's 1831-position model. The record is from RNAcentral.